CCUACGGGUGGCAGCAGUGAGGACUAUUGGUCAAUGGACGAGAGUCUGAACCAGCCAAGUAGCGUGAAGGAUGACUGCCCUAUGGGUUGUAAACUUCUUUUAUAUGGGAAUAAAAUGUUCCACGUGUGGGAUUUUGUAUGUACCAUAUGAAUAAGGAUCGGCUAACUCCGUGCCAGCAGCCGCGGUAAUACGGAGGAUCCGAGCGUUAUCCGGAUUUAUUGGGUUUAAAGGGAGCGUAGGUGGAUUGUUAAGUCAGUUGUGAAAGUUUGCGGCUCAACCGUAAAAUUGCAGUUGAAACUGGCAGUCUUGAGUACAGUAGAGGUGGGCGGAAUUCGUGGUGUAGCGGUGAAAUGCUUAGAUAUCACGAAGAACUCCGAUUGCGAAGGCAGUUCACUGGACUGCAACUGACACUGAGGCUCGAAAGUGUGGGUAUCAAACAGGAUUAGAUACCCUAGUAGUC
This 460-nucleotide ribosomal RNA is filed under the name uncultured bacterium. Its description in RNAcentral is "partial 16S ribosomal RNA". It matches the Rfam family "Bacterial small subunit ribosomal RNA", at positions 338 to 795 of the family's 1533-position model. The record is from RNAcentral.